Molecule: ribosomal RNA, 253 nt
Filed under: uncultured bacterium
Lineage: Bacteria
Description: partial 16S ribosomal RNA
Rfam family: Bacterial small subunit ribosomal RNA
Source: RNAcentral
UACGUAGGGUGCAAGCGUUGUCCGGAAUUAUUGGGCGUAAAGAGCUUGUAGGCGGUUUGUCGCGUCUGCUGUGGAAUUUCGGGGCUCAACCCCGGACUUGCGGUGGGUACGGGCAGACUAGAGUGUGGUAGGGGAGACUGGAAUUCCUGGUGUAGCGGUGAAAUGCGCAGAUAUCAGGAGGAACACCGAUGGCGAAGGCAGGUCUCUGGGCCACUACUGACGCUGAGAAGCGAAAGCGUGGGGAGCGAACAGG